RNAcentral lists this ribosomal RNA (448 nucleotides) under uncultured bacterium. Its description in RNAcentral is "bacterial SSU rRNA". It matches the Rfam family "Bacterial small subunit ribosomal RNA", at positions 355 to 825 of the family's 1533-position model. The record is from RNAcentral.
UGGGGAAUAUUGGACAAUGGGCGCAAGCCUGAUCCAGCCAUGCCGCGUGAGUGACGAAGGCCUUAGGGUUGUAAAGCUCUUUUUGGCGGGGAAGAUAAUGACGGUACCCGCAGAAUAAGCUCCGGCUAACUUCGUGCCAGCAGCCGCGGUAAUACGAAGGGGGCUAGCGUUGUUCGGAUUUACUGGGCGUAAAGCGCGUGUAGGCGGACUGGAAAGUUGGGGGUGAAAUCCCGAGGCUCAACCUCGGAACUGCCUCCAAAACUUCCAGUCUGGACUCAAGUAGAGGCAAGUGGAAUUGCGAGUGUAGAGGUGAAAUUCGUAGAUAUUCGCAGGAACACCAGUGGCGAAGGCGACUUGCUGGACUUGUAGUGACGCUGAGACACGAAAGCGUGGGGAGCAAACAGGAUUAGAUACCCUAGUAGUCCCUGAGCGGGCUGGCAAGGCGCAU